RNAcentral lists this ribosomal RNA (650 nucleotides) under uncultured bacterium. RNAcentral describes it as "bacterial SSU rRNA". It matches the Rfam family "Bacterial small subunit ribosomal RNA", at positions 43 to 693 of the family's 1533-position model. The record is from RNAcentral.
CAGGCCUAACACAUGCAAGUCGAACGAAGCACUUUCUUUAGAUUCUUCGGAUGAAGAAGACUGUGACUGAGUGGCGGACGGGUGAGUAACGCGUGGGCAACCUGCCCUGUACAGGGGGAUAACAGUUAGAAAUGACUGCUAAUACCGCAUAAGCGCACGAAGACGCAUGUUCUUGUGUGAAAAACUCCGGUGGUACAGGAUGGGCCCGCGUCUGAUUAAGUAGUUGGUGGGGCAGCGGCCUACCAAGCCGACGAUCAGUAGCCGACCUGAGAGGGUGACCGGCCACAUUGGGACUGAGACACGGCCCAAACUCCUACGGGAGGCAGCAGUGGGGAAUAUUGCACAAUGGGGGAAACCCUGAUGCAGCGACGCCGCGUGAANNAAGAAGUAUUUCGGUAUGUAAACUUCUAUCAGCAGGGAAGAAACUGACGGUACCUGACUAAGAAGCACCGGCUAAAUACGUGCCAGCAGCCGCGGUAAUACGUAUGGUGCAAGCGUUAUCCGGAUUUACUGGGUGUAAAGGGAGCGUAGACGGAGAGGCAAGUCUGAAGUGAAAGCCCGGGGCUCAACCCCGGGACUGCUUUGGAAACUGCAGUUCUAGAGUGCCGGAGNGGUAAGCGGAAUUCCUAGUGUAGCGGUGAAAUGCGUAG